UGGAACGGUCUGGAAAGUCCGACGGUACAGGGUGAUAGUCCCGUACACCAAAAUGCACAGGCUGUGAACUCGAAGAGUAGGGCGGGACACGUGGUAUCCUGUCUGAAUAUGGGGGGACCAUCCUCCAAGGCUAAAUACUCCUGACUGACCGAUAGUGAACCAGUACCGUGAGGGAAAGGCGAAAAGAACCCCGGCGAGGGGAGUGAAAAAGAACCUGAAACCGUGUACGUACAAGCAGUGGGAGCACCUUCGGGUGUGACUGCGUACCUUUUGUAUAAUGGGUCAGCGACUUAUAUUCUGUAGCAAGGUUAACCGUAUAGGGGAGCCGCAGGGAAACCGAGUCUUAACUGGGCGUUAAGUUGCAGGGUAUAGACCCGAAACCCGGUGAUCUAGCCAUGGGCAGGUUGAAGGUUGGGUAACACUAACUGGAGGACCGAACCGACUAAUGUUGAAAAAUUAGCGGAUGACUUGUGGCUGGGGGUGAAAGGCCAAUCAAACCGGGAGAUAGCUGGUUCUCCCCGAAAGCU
Molecule: ribosomal RNA, 527 nt
Filed under: Klebsiella pneumoniae
Lineage: Bacteria; Pseudomonadati; Pseudomonadota; Gammaproteobacteria; Enterobacterales; Enterobacteriaceae
Description: partial 23S ribosomal RNA
Rfam family: Bacterial large subunit ribosomal RNA
Source: RNAcentral